RNAcentral lists this small RNA (74 nucleotides) under Xanthomonas vasicola. RNAcentral describes it as "sX9". The record is from RNAcentral. Lineage: Bacteria; Pseudomonadati; Pseudomonadota; Gammaproteobacteria; Lysobacterales; Lysobacteraceae.
AUGCCCCACGCGGAAAGAUCGCUUCCUAUGCGCCGUUCAUGCCGCUCAACGACUGCUCGAUAUGUUUGCUGACU